UUCGGAUCGCGGCGACGCCGGCGGUUCGCCGCCGGUGACGACGUGAGAAGUUCAUUAAACCUUAUCAUUUAGAGGAAGGAGAAGUCGUAACAAGGUUUCCGUAGGUGAACCUGCGGAAGGAUCAUUG
RNAcentral lists this ribosomal RNA (127 nucleotides) under Frullania chevalieri. RNAcentral describes it as "partial 18S ribosomal RNA". It matches the Rfam family "Eukaryotic small subunit ribosomal RNA", at positions 1709 to 1831 of the family's 1831-position model. The record is from RNAcentral. RNAcentral also lists the same sequence under 1 other name. Lineage: Eukaryota; Viridiplantae; Streptophyta; Jungermanniopsida; Porellales; Frullaniaceae.